This 98-nucleotide non-coding RNA is filed under the name Hyphomicrobiales bacterium. RNAcentral describes it as "Rhizobiales bacterium Glycine sequence". It matches the Rfam family "Glycine riboswitch aptamer". Rfam says of the family: This family represents the bacterial glycine riboswitch. Glycine riboswitches usually consist of two metabolite-binding aptamers domains with similar structures in tandem. The record is from RNAcentral. Lineage: Bacteria; Pseudomonadati; Pseudomonadota; Alphaproteobacteria; Hyphomicrobiales.
AGACCCUCCGCGGAAGAGACCGGACCGGCGCAAGCCGUUUCGGCGCCGAAGGCGCAACCGCCCCGGAAACGCUCAGGCCAAAGGACCGCGAGGGGGAU